RNAcentral lists this ribosomal RNA (147 nucleotides) under Trichoderma spirale. RNAcentral's name for it is "5.8S ribosomal RNA". Lineage: Eukaryota; Fungi; Ascomycota; Sordariomycetes; Hypocreales; Hypocreaceae. The record is from RNAcentral.
UCAUUUCAACCCUCGAACCCCUCCGGGGGGUCGGCGUUGGGGAUCGGCCCUUUCACGGGGGCCGGCCCCGAAAUACAGUGGCGGUCUCGCCGCAGCCUCUCCUGCGCAGUAGUUUGCACACUCGCAUCGGGAGCGCGGCGCGUCCAA